CCCAUAUCCUCCCGUGUGGAGGAGGCCGUUCUCCUCUACCUCCGACCCCCUAGCCAUGAGGUGCACGCAGAGGCAGCCCAGGCUUCCCUUCUCUCCCCUACCAAGGCAGCCAUCAGCCGGCUUUCUCCCCCUCCCAAGUCUGCGGGCGACACGGGGGAGUUCGACGCCCCCAUCUCCUUCCCAGGGCGGCUAACAACGAGGAGGAGGGCAUGGGCGCCCUCCUGGCCUCCUCUACCUCUGGAGGCAGCGGGGCCAUGGGAGGAGCAAGGCGGAGGACAUCGGCACCCUCCUCUCCCUCCUGAGUCAGCACGACUAUGGGAGGAUCCGGCACAGUCGGUGCUCCCUUUCGGAUGCAUUGCAUCGCCAUCCGUGUCAUGACUCUCUCUAUCUCUCUAUGACGCCGCGACUUCUAGGGAAUUUUGCAUCUACAGAAGAUGGCGUUGCUACAGAUAUGCAGAGGGAUAAACUAUGCAGUGACAUACCAAUCUGCAGUUUAAUUUACAGCUAAUUUUCCUGUCUCGAGCUCAUCUUCCGUUUUGCUUCUCGGAUCGACCUCCUCGAGCUUUUGGGAUCCAGUCUUGACGCUCAACUAUAUUUACUCCUCACGUCUUUGUGAGUAAGUACAUUUUAUACGUUUGUUUCUUCCAUGAGUUCUCAUGCUAGAAAUUUUGUAUGCAAUCGCAUUCUUCUUCUACCAUAUGUACUCAGAUGUAUACUUCACACUUUCUUAUCUGUUUUAGUUUCUCCAGCUAGGUUUAUGCAGACAAAAGUCUAUGCAGGUUGCAUUCUUCCCUAUAUCAUGUUUUUCUCUCAGUAAAAUAGAUAGAAAUUUGAUGUGCUAUUACAUUUUUAUUAUCUAAUUCUUGCAGUUCACCCACUUUUCAAUGGCACAUUUAGGAUUUAGUUUUAUUUGCUUCUUUGUUAUUUGCAUAGGUGCAGCCAAACUUUUGUGGUCUUUCAGCUUUUUACAUUGCCUGCUCACCCUUACUGUUUCUCUAUCUUACUUUUCCUUUUCUUUUCUUUGUUGCUAGAACCAUGGAAGAUAAAUUGGUUCACCUAAGAAGCAUAUUUGUUUGUCAGCAGGUACAUUUCACUCUAUGAAAAUUGCCUCUGCAAAUAUCGCCAAGUAAUAUAGUGGAUCAGGUGUUGUCUCCAUACUAUCAAUUGGAGUAUAUUGUUCGUGAGACAAGGGCGAUGGAUGAUCUAUCAGCUUUUGCCACAAAAUCAUGACAAUAGCAGAUCAGAGUGCCACUAAGGUUCCAGAGAAUAGUUCAGCAGAGGGUGCCACCCUCCAGAACACACCUAUGUUUAUUUGUUAAUAGGUACACGGUUAUGUUGCAAAAAAUCCAGUACCUCCAUGGGGUCACAAGAAGGUACAGAUAUAAGAGUACAGUUAGCAGCAUAUCGGCAAGUCAUGUGGUGUCUCCCGUCCCGUGGAGUGUUUCAUUUCACCACGAAUGUUUGAUGUGGAGGCUAUCCAAAAAUAUUCUUCCGCGGUAGUUCUGCAUCCUAGGCUAGAUACCAACUUUGCAGAUCUACAAUAUGUAUGUGGAUUUCUAAAGGUGAAGUGGCUAAAUAAUGUAGCAGUUUUACUCUAUUUUGAUUAAGAUAACCCCUGCAUGUUCGUAUAUGAAAUGUCUGUUUCUUUUGAAGAAUGGAUUCACGGUGGAGAGCUUGAGCUCAUUCAGUGGACACCUGAGUAUGGAUCAGUUGGGUGUGUAGGAAGAUUGUGAGUAUGGACACCUGAGUAUACUCACGGUGAGUAUGGAUCAGUUGGGUGUAUAUGGAUCAGUGGGCACAUUCAGUGAACAACGUUUUUUUAGAUCCAUACUCAGGUUUCAGCCAUCUACAGGACCUAAAACCGCUUAAGCAAUCUUAUUUACCGAUUGUGAGUAGGAAGAUUGUGAUG
Long non-coding RNA from Lolium rigidum, 1909 nucleotides. RefSeq lists it as uncharacterized. NCBI's taxonomy places the organism in Eukaryota, Viridiplantae, Streptophyta, Magnoliopsida, Poales, Poaceae. The transcript has 3 exons. The record is from RefSeq and is a predicted model, not a curated record.